CAUAAGGAAGCGAAGUGUGUGUGUCAAUGAGAGGACAGAAGAGCUCACAUCAGUUCAGCUUCAACAUCAACCAUGUUCUCUGUAGCUCUGAUACUGCUGCUGGCAGCUGGAUCCUGUGUGUACAGUAUUGAUCUCAUCCAGCCAGAGUCAAAGGUUGUGCAGCCUGGACAGUCUUUGACCAUCACCUGUCAGGUCUCUGGUUAUUCUCUGACUGAUAACAGCUAUGCAACAGGUUGGGUCAGACAGCGUGAAGGAAAACUGAUGGACUGGAUUUCUCAUCAGUGGGGUGGAGGUACUCUUCGUCAAAAUGAUGCUCUGAAGAACAAGUUCAGCUACAACAGAGACACUUCUGCAAGAACAGUGACUAUAACAGGACAGAAUCUGCAGCCUGAGGACACAGCUGUUUAUUACUGUGUACGUUACCCCACAGUGAAACAAACCACCAACAGACCUGUACAAAAACUCAGCAACACAUGCUCUAAUGUGAACAUUAGUAAAGUCAGUACUCUCUUACAAUAAUGUAGUUGAAUGUUCCUGCAUUUCACUUUAGUAUUUUAACAUAUCUGUGUAGAUUUCUUUUGACUUCAACUGCAAGACAAGGAUAUAAAGCACUUUUUUUUAUUCAUUUUUGAACUGGGAUGUCUAGAGAAGCAGGAUGAAGCAUUUUGUUUUGUUUCCAUACAAUGGAAUCUUAGAAAGCUAACUGUACAGCAGUAUAUCUUUCUUUUCAAGUAUUAAAAAAAAUCCACAGAUGAAAUUUAACAUUUUUAAUUUAGCCAUUUUUGUAAUUUUAGUUCUCCCUGUGCCAGCGUGGCCUCUCUGUGGGUACUCUGGCCUCCUUCCUUUGACUGAAGAUAUGUAAGUUAUGUUAACUGAUGACUCUGAAUUGCCCAUAGGUGGGAAUUUGAAUGUGAAUGUGUUGGCCCUGAGAUGGACUGCUGAUCUGUCCAGGGUGUACCCGUUCAGUUCACUAUUGUUUUCGGUAAUAAAUAUAUAUAUUUUUA
Molecule: non-coding RNA, 1004 nt
Organism: Lates calcarifer (barramundi perch)
Lineage: Eukaryota; Metazoa; Chordata; Actinopteri; Centropomidae
Source: the annotation of a RefSeq genome assembly